GAUGAACGCUGGCGGCGUGCCUAAUACAUGCCAGUCGAGCGAACGGACGAGAAGCUUGCUUCUCUGAUGUUAGCGGCGGACGGGUGAGUAACACGUGGAUAACCUACCUAUAAGACUGGGAUAACUUCGGGAAACCGUAGCUAAUACCGGAUAAUAUUUUGAACCGCAUGGUUCAAAAGUGAAAGACGGUCUUGCUGUCACUUAUAGAUGGAUCCGCGCUGCAUUAUCUAGUUGGUAAGGUAACGGCUUACCAAGGCAACGAUGCAUAGCCGACCUGAGAGGGUGAUCGGCCACACUGGAACUGAGACACGGUCCAGACUCCUACGGGAGGCAGCAGUAGGGAAUCUUCCGCAAUGGGCGAAAGCCUGACGGAGCAACGCCGCGUGAGUGAUGAAGGUCUUCGGAUCGUAAAACUCUGUUAUUAGGGAAGAACAUAUGUGUAAGUAACUGUGCACAUCUUGACGGUACCUAAUCAGAAAGCCACGGCUAACUACGUG
This 497-nucleotide ribosomal RNA is filed under the name uncultured bacterium. RNAcentral's name for it is "partial 16S ribosomal RNA". It matches the Rfam family "Bacterial small subunit ribosomal RNA", at positions 28 to 507 of the family's 1533-position model. The record is from RNAcentral.